Small nuclear RNA from Arvicola amphibius (Eurasian water vole), 161 nucleotides. RefSeq annotates it as U1 spliceosomal RNA. The transcript has a single exon. Lineage: Eukaryota; Metazoa; Chordata; Mammalia; Rodentia; Cricetidae. The record is from RefSeq and is a predicted model, not a curated record.
AUACUUACCUGACAGGGGAGACACCAUGAUCAGAAAAGUGAUUUCCCUAGGGCAAAGCUCAUCCGUUGCAUUCCAGGUGUGCUGACCCCGUGGUUUUCCCAGAUGUGGGAAACUCAGCUGCACAGUUUGUGGUAGUGGAGGACUGCAUUAACACUCUUCCU